UUUUAAUCCAGAAUAAUUCAUAGUAAUAUGGUUCAAGAGGUCUAUAUGACAAGCUUUAUAACAUGGAACCCCCUCCUGCAUUGGAUAAGUUUGAUGAUGUUAAAAUAAACCCUUGCACAGAAAUUUCAUAAAGCAGAAUUGUUUGCCUCACUAACUCAAAAUAAUAGAAAUCUAACAAAAGAAAUUUUGAGCAUGUACCUCAGCAUUCAAACCUAAAGAAUUCCU
Molecule: unclassified non-coding RNA, 225 nt
Filed under: Hevea brasiliensis (rubber tree)
Lineage: Eukaryota; Viridiplantae; Streptophyta; Magnoliopsida; Malpighiales; Euphorbiaceae
Source: RNAcentral